GACGAACGCUGGCGGCGUGCUUAACACAUGCAAGUCGAACGGAAAGGCCUGCUUUCCCUUGUGGAUUGCGGGUACUCGCGUGGCGAACGGGUGAGUAACACGUGAGUGAUCUGCCCCCAACUUGGGUAUAAGCCUGGGAAACUGGGUCUAAUUCCCGAUAGUACUGCAGGGUGGUGCCUGUGGUGUAACACGAUUUUCUAGGUGUUGGGGAUGAGCUCGCUGCCUAUCAGCUUGUUGGUGGGUUAAUGUCCUACCAAGGCGGCGACGGGUAGCCGGCCUGAGAGGUUGGACGGACACAUUGGGACUGAGAUACGGCCCGGACUCCUACGGGAGGCAGCAGGGGGGAAUAUUGCACAAUGGGCGGAAGCCUGAUGCAGCGACGCCGCGUGGGGGAUGACGGCCUUCGGGUUGUAAACUCCUUUCGACCGCGAGGAAGCCACCUGGUUGGAAGGGUGGUGACGGUAGCGGUAGAAGAAGCACCGGCUAACUACGUG
This 494-nucleotide ribosomal RNA is filed under the name uncultured bacterium. Its description in RNAcentral is "partial 16S ribosomal RNA". It matches the Rfam family "Bacterial small subunit ribosomal RNA", at positions 28 to 507 of the family's 1533-position model. The record is from RNAcentral.